RNAcentral lists this unclassified non-coding RNA (357 nucleotides) under soil metagenome. RNAcentral describes it as "partial contains 5.8S ribosomal RNA, internal transcribed spacer 2, and large subunit ribosomal RNA". The stretch from base 1 to 120 matches the Rfam family "5.8S ribosomal RNA", at positions 35 to 154 of the family's 154-position model. The record is from RNAcentral.
GAUGAAGAACGUAGCGAAAUGCGAUAAGUAAUGUGAAUUGCAGAAUUCAGUGAAUCAUCGAAUCUUUGAACGCACAUUGCGCCCGCUGGUAUUCCGGCGGGCAUGCCUGUUCGAGCGUCAUUUCAACCCUCAAGCUCUCCGGAGUUUGGUGUUGGGGCGCCUGGGGCUUUUCGACCUCAGGGCCCUCAAGUUCAUCGGCGGGACCGCCAGGACACUGAGCGCAGUAGUAUUAUUUCGCUCGGUAGGAUCUUCCACGGCGGGUCGAUCUGGCCGCUAAACCCCCCAAUUCUCACCAAAGGUUGACCUCGGAUCAGGUAGGAAUACCCGCUGAACUUAAGCAUAUCAAUAAGCGGAGGA